Molecule: ribosomal RNA, 225 nt
Filed under: Citrobacter werkmanii
Lineage: Bacteria; Pseudomonadati; Pseudomonadota; Gammaproteobacteria; Enterobacterales; Enterobacteriaceae
Description: partial 23S ribosomal RNA
Rfam family: Bacterial large subunit ribosomal RNA
Source: RNAcentral
GGUCCUUGAUGUGUAGGAUAGGUGGGAGGCUUUGAAGUGUGGACGCCAGUCUGCAUGGAGCCAUCCUUGAAAUACCACCCUUUAAUGGCUGGUGUUCUAACGUAGACCCGUUACCCGGGUUGCGGACAGUGUCUGGUGGGUAGUUUGACUGGGGCGGUCUCCUCCUAAAGAGUAACGGAGGAGCACGAAGGUUAGCUAAUCCUGGUCGGACAUCAGGAGGUUAGU